Patella vulgata (common limpet) is the source of this 512-nucleotide long non-coding RNA. RefSeq lists it as uncharacterized. The transcript is spliced from 4 exons. The record is from RefSeq and is a predicted model, not a curated record. Lineage: Eukaryota; Metazoa; Mollusca; Gastropoda; Patellidae.
CUUACGGCUGGGGUAUUUAUGGAGUGUAACUCAAGGGAAGUUGCAGUGUUGGAAUUCCAAAUCUACUGUAUAGACGAUAAAAUUGAUGAACAUUAUUAUCUUUUUGAAAAUUUAACUACUCGUCAUUUGUACAAUUCCUUGUACCCCAAAUCCAGCUAUGAAUCAUUCGCUAAUACCAACCUUUCUUGCUCAGUAUUAAUCACGAGUCCAGUCACCUAUGAAGUUUUUGUAAUGAAUGGAGGAGAUGGAGAUUGUGUAGGUAUUCAAUUAAGAAGUGACGAUGGUACUGACUUAUAUCCCACAAACAGAACAACUUGCAACUACGACCUCACUUCAGACACAGUAACCAUCGAUAAAAACUUUACCCUUCAUUUGUUUACCAACGACACGCUAGCAACCGGCGUGAAUGCUACUGUACUUGUGGUACUUAGUUCAAAAGAUAACUUCACUAUCUGGUGUCCAGGAUACCCAAUAACAACCACAGUUCCAACUACUACAGUUCCAACAACAAC